CGGACGGGUGAGUAAUGCCUAGGAAUCUGCCUGGUAGUGGGGGACAACGUUUCGAAAGGAACGCUAAUACCGCAUACGUCCUACGGGAGAAAGCAGGGGACCUUCGGGCCUUGCGCUAUCAGAUGAGCCUAGGUCGGAUUAGCUAGUUGGUGAGGUAAUGGCCCACCAAGGCGACGAUCCGUAACUGGUCUGAGAGGAUGAUCAGUCACACUGGAACUGAGACACGGUCCAG
RNAcentral lists this ribosomal RNA (232 nucleotides) under uncultured Pseudomonadales bacterium. RNAcentral describes it as "partial 16S ribosomal RNA". It matches the Rfam family "Bacterial small subunit ribosomal RNA", at positions 99 to 334 of the family's 1533-position model. The record is from RNAcentral. Lineage: Bacteria; Pseudomonadati; Pseudomonadota; Gammaproteobacteria; Pseudomonadales.